CAGUGUAUAGCUAAACACAGAUAAAGCGUCUCACUUACACCGAGGAAGUACCCGUG
Molecule: ribosomal RNA, 56 nt
Filed under: Luzonichthys waitei
Lineage: Eukaryota; Metazoa; Chordata; Actinopteri; Perciformes; Anthiadidae
Description: partial 12S ribosomal RNA
Source: RNAcentral